Molecule: transfer RNA, 68 nt
Filed under: Dipodomys ordii (Ord's kangaroo rat)
Lineage: Eukaryota; Metazoa; Chordata; Mammalia; Rodentia; Heteromyidae
Rfam family: tRNA
About the family: Transfer RNA (tRNA) molecules are approximately 80 nucleotides in length. Their secondary structure includes four short double-helical elements and three loops (D, anti-codon, and T loops). Further hydrogen bonds mediate the characteristic L-shaped molecular structure. tRNAs have two regions of fundamental functional importance: the anti-codon, which is responsible for specific mRNA codon recognition, and the 3' end, to which the tRNAs corresponding amino acid is attached (by aminoacyl-tRNA synthetases). tRNAs cope with the degeneracy of the genetic code in two manners: having more than one tRNA (with a specific anti-codon) for a particular amino acid; and 'wobble' base-pairing, i.e. permitting non-standard base-pairing at the 3rd anti-codon position.
Source: Rfam by way of RNAcentral
GGUGGCUCAGUAGUGGUAGAGUGCUUGCCUUGCAUGCAUGAGGCCCUGAGUUUGAUUCCUCAGCACCA